Molecule: non-coding RNA, 21 nt
Filed under: Caenorhabditis elegans
Lineage: Eukaryota; Metazoa; Nematoda; Chromadorea; Rhabditida; Rhabditidae
Source: RNAcentral
UCAAUUGGCAUUAUUUCAUGC